GACAGAGGGUGCAAACGUUGUUCGGAAUUACUGGGCGUAAAGCGAGUGUAGGCGGUUUCGUAAGUCGGAUGUGAAAGCCCCGGGCUCAACCCGGGAAGUGCACUCGAUACUGCGAGGCUAGAGUAUCGGAGAGGUUGGUGGAAUUCUCGGUGUAGAGGUGAAAUUCGUAGAUAUCGGGAGGAACACCAGUGGCGAAGGCGGCGACCUGGGCCAAUAUUGACGCUGAGGUGCGAAAGCGUGGGGAGCAAACAGU
RNAcentral lists this ribosomal RNA (253 nucleotides) under uncultured prokaryote. RNAcentral's name for it is "partial 16S ribosomal RNA". It matches the Rfam family "Bacterial small subunit ribosomal RNA", at positions 524 to 776 of the family's 1533-position model. The record is from RNAcentral.